Nicrophorus vespilloides is the source of this 99-nucleotide long non-coding RNA. RefSeq lists it as uncharacterized. Lineage: Eukaryota; Metazoa; Arthropoda; Insecta; Coleoptera; Silphidae. The transcript is spliced from 2 exons. The record is from RefSeq and is a predicted model, not a curated record.
AAAAUGUGAAUAGGAAGCAGGACUUGUUUUUUUUUUCGUAUCGAUAAAUAGGUGAAGAUAAAGGGUGAGACAUGAAAAGAUGAGAAGGGUGUGAAAGAU